RNAcentral lists this ribosomal RNA (266 nucleotides) under uncultured methanogenic archaeon. RNAcentral's name for it is "partial 16S ribosomal RNA". It matches the Rfam family "Archaeal small subunit ribosomal RNA", at positions 321 to 587 of the family's 1478-position model. The record is from RNAcentral. Lineage: Archaea; Methanobacteriati; Methanobacteriota.
CCCUACGGGGCGCAGCAGGCGCGAAAACUUUACAAUGCUGGAAACAGCGAUAAGGGGACCUCGAGUGCCAGGUUACAAAUCUGGCUGUCGUGAUGCCUAAAAAGCAUUGCAUAGCAAGGGCCGGGCAAGACCGGUGCCAGCCGCCGCGGUAACACCGGCGGCUCGAGUGGUAACCGUUAUUAUUGGGUCUAAAGGGUCUGUAGCCGGCCGGAUAAGUCUCUUGGGAAAUCUGGCAGCUUAACUGUCAGGCUUUCAGGAGAUACUGU